This 253-nucleotide ribosomal RNA is filed under the name uncultured bacterium. RNAcentral's name for it is "partial 16S ribosomal RNA". It matches the Rfam family "Bacterial small subunit ribosomal RNA", at positions 524 to 776 of the family's 1533-position model. The record is from RNAcentral.
UACGGAGGGUGCAAACGUUGCUCGGAAUCAUUGGGCGUAAAGCGCACGUAGGCGGCUCGUUAAGUCGGAUGUGAAAGCCCUGGGCUCAACCCAGGAAGUGCAUACGAAACUGGCGAGCUUGAAUCUGGAAGAGGGUCGCGGAAUUCCCGGUGUAGAGGUGAAAUUCGUAGAUAUCGGGAGGAACACCAGUGGCGAAGGCGGCGACCUGGGCCAAUAUUGACGCUGAGGUGCGAAAGCGUGGGGAGCAAACAGG